GUUCGAUUCUGGCUCAGAUUGAACGCUGGCGGAUGCUUUACCAUGCAAGUCGAACAGCAGCGAGACUUCGAUGCUAUUUGGCGAGUGGCGAACAGGUGAGUAAUGUAUCGGAACGUGCCCUGGUAGCGGGAUAACACGCGGCGUAGCUAAUACCGCAUACGCCCUUCGAAGGAAAGCGGGGGACCUUCCGGGCCUCGCACUAUUAGAGCGGCCGAUAUCGGAUUAGCUAGUUGGUGGGGUAACGGCUCACCAAGGCGACGAUCAUAGCUGGUUUGAGAGGACGACCAGCCACACUGGGACGUGGAACGCAGCCGGAACUCUGGGAAGCGAGUGGGGAAUUUUGGACAAUGGGGAAACCCUGAUCCAGCCAUCCGCGUGUGCGAUGAAGGCCUUCGGGUUGUAAAGCACUUUUGGCAGGAAGAAACAGCGCGGGGAUAUACCCGAUGCAACUGACGGUGCCUGCAGAAUAAGCACCAACUAACUACGUGCCAGCAGCCGCGGUAAUACGUAAAGUGCAAGCGUUAAUCAGGAGUACUGGGCGUAAAGCGUGCGCGACGGUUCGGAAAGAAGAUGUGAAAUCCCAGAGCUUAACUUUGGAACUGCAUUUUUAACUACCGAGCUGAAGUAUUGUCAGAGGGAGGUGGAAUUCCGCGUGUAGCAGUGAAAUGCGUAGAUAUGCGGAGGAACACCGAUGGCGAAGGCAGCCUCCUGGGAUAGCACUGACGCUCAUGCACGAAAGCGUGGGAGCAAACGGGAUUAGAUACCCUGGUAGUCCACGCCCACAAACGUGUCAACUAGCUGUUGGGCCUUCGGGCCUUGGUACAGCUGGCGCGUGAAGUUGACCGCCUGGGAGUACGGUCGCAAGAUUAAAACUCAAAGGAAUUGACGGGGACCCGCACAAGCGGUGGAUGAUGUCAGUUAAUUCGAUGCAACGCGAAAAACCUUACCUACCGCCAGCAUAUCUGGAAUCCAGAAGAGAUUUGGGAGUGCUCGCAAGAGAAACCGGAACACAGGUGCUGCACUGGCUGUCGUCAGCUCGUGUCGUGAGAUGUUGGUUAAGUCCGCAACAGGCGCAGCCGCAUCAUUAGUUGCUACGAAGGGCACUCUAAUGAGACUGCCGGUGACAAACCGGAGGAAGGUGGGGAUGACGUCAAGUCCUCAUGGCCCUUAUGGGUAGGAGCUUCACACGUCAUACAAUCAGUUCGGGACAGAGGGUCGCCAACCCGCGAGGCCAAUCCAGCUCCGAUCGUAGUCCGGAUCGCAGUCUGCAACUCGACUGCGUGAAGUCAGAAUCAUAGUAAUCGCGGAUCAGCAUGUCGCGGUGAAUACGUUCCCGGGUCUUGUACACACCGCCGUCACACCAUGGGAGUGGGUUUUACCAGAAGUAGUUAGCCUAACCGUAAGGAGGCGAUUACCAGUAGGAUUCAUGACAGGAGUCAGAAGUCGUAACAAGAUUG
This 1457-nucleotide ribosomal RNA is filed under the name uncultured Bordetella sp. RNAcentral describes it as "partial 16S-23S ribosomal RNA intergenic spacer". It matches the Rfam family "Bacterial small subunit ribosomal RNA". The record is from RNAcentral. Lineage: Bacteria; Pseudomonadati; Pseudomonadota; Betaproteobacteria; Burkholderiales; Alcaligenaceae.